AUCUGGAUAGCUCAGUGGUCUAGAGCAGUUGCCCGGAAAGCGAAAGACUCGCGGGUUCGAAUCUCGAUCCAGCCA
This 75-nucleotide transfer RNA is filed under the name Camponotus floridanus (Florida carpenter ant). It matches the Rfam family "tRNA". Rfam says of the family: Transfer RNA (tRNA) molecules are approximately 80 nucleotides in length. Lineage: Eukaryota; Metazoa; Arthropoda; Insecta; Hymenoptera; Formicidae. The record is from Rfam by way of RNAcentral.